GGCGAACGGGUGAGUAAUGCAUCGGAACGUGCCCAUGUCGUGGGGGAUAACGUAGCGAAAGCUACGCUAAUACCGCAUACGCCCUGAGGGGGAAAGCGGGGGAUUCUUCGGAACCUCGCGCGAUUGGAGCGGCCGAUGUCGGAUUAGCUAGUAGGUGAGGUAAAGGCUCACCUAGGCGACGAUCCGUAGCGGGUCUGAGAGGAUGAUCCGCCACACUGGGACUGAGACACGGCCCAGACUCCUACGGGAGGCAGCAGUGGGGAAUUUUGGACAAUGGGCGCAAGCCUGAUCCAGCCAUGCCGCGUGAGUGAAGAAGGCCUUCGGGUUGUAAAGCUCUUUCGGCAGGAACGAAACGGUGAGGGUUAAUACCUCUCAUCAAUGACGGUACCUGAAGAAGAAGCACCGGCUAACUACGUGCCAGCAGCCGCGGUAAUACGUAGGGUGCGAGCGUUAAUCGGAAUUACUGGGCGUAAAGCGUGCGCAGGCGGUUUCGUAAGACAGAUGUGAAA
RNAcentral lists this ribosomal RNA (509 nucleotides) under uncultured Thauera sp. RNAcentral describes it as "bacterial SSU rRNA". It matches the Rfam family "Bacterial small subunit ribosomal RNA", at positions 97 to 599 of the family's 1533-position model. The record is from RNAcentral. Lineage: Bacteria; Pseudomonadati; Pseudomonadota; Betaproteobacteria; Rhodocyclales; Zoogloeaceae.